GGAGGGGUGGCAGAGUGGUCGAAUGCGGCGGUCUUGAAAACCGUUAUAGUGAAAGCUAUCGGGGGUUCGAAUCCCUCCCCCUCCGCCA
Molecule: transfer RNA, 88 nt
Filed under: Verrucomicrobiota bacterium
Lineage: Bacteria; Pseudomonadati; Verrucomicrobiota
Description: tRNA-Ser
Rfam family: tRNA
About the family: Transfer RNA (tRNA) molecules are approximately 80 nucleotides in length. Their secondary structure includes four short double-helical elements and three loops (D, anti-codon, and T loops).
Source: RNAcentral